RNAcentral lists this ribosomal RNA (468 nucleotides) under uncultured bacterium. RNAcentral's name for it is "partial 16S ribosomal RNA". It matches the Rfam family "Bacterial small subunit ribosomal RNA", at positions 28 to 507 of the family's 1533-position model. The record is from RNAcentral.
GACGAACGCUGGCGGCGUGCUUAACACAUGCAAGUCGAACGGAAAGGCCCUGCUUUUGUGGGGUGCUCGAGUGGCGAACGGGUGAGUAACACGUGAGUAACCUGCCCUUGACUUUGGGAUAACUUCAGGAAACUGGGGCUAAUACCGGAUAGGAGCUCCUGCUGCAUGGUGGGGGUUGGAAAGUUUCGGCGGUUGGGGAUGGUCUCGCGGCUUAUCAGCUUGUUGGUGGGGUAGUGGCUUACCAAGGCUUUGAAGGGUAGCCGGCCUGAGAGGGUGACCGGCCACAUUGGGACUGAGAUACGGCCCAGACUCCUACGGGAGGCAGCAGUGGGGAAUAUUGCACAAUGGGCGGAAGCCUGAUGCAGCAACGCCGCGUGCGGGAUGACGGCCUUCGGGUUGUAAACCGCUUUCGCCUGUGACGAAGCGUGAGUGGCGGUAAUGGGUAAAGAAGCACCGGCUAACUACGUG